GUGAGUUUCACGUACCUCUGAUGUCCAGAA
This 30-nucleotide non-coding RNA is filed under the name Rattus norvegicus (Norway rat). Lineage: Eukaryota; Metazoa; Chordata; Mammalia; Rodentia; Muridae. The record is from RNAcentral.